This 90-nucleotide transfer RNA is filed under the name Gammaproteobacteria bacterium. Its description in RNAcentral is "tRNA-Ser". It matches the Rfam family "tRNA". Rfam says of the family: Transfer RNA (tRNA) molecules are approximately 80 nucleotides in length. Their secondary structure includes four short double-helical elements and three loops (D, anti-codon, and T loops). The record is from RNAcentral. RNAcentral also lists the same sequence under 1 other name. Lineage: Bacteria; Pseudomonadati; Pseudomonadota; Gammaproteobacteria.
GGUGAGUUGGUCGAGUGGCCUAUGGCACUAGCUUGGAAAGUUAGCGACGGUUUAUCCCGUCCGAGAGUUCGAAUCUCUCACUCACCGCCA